RNAcentral lists this ribosomal RNA (465 nucleotides) under Vreelandella stevensii. RNAcentral's name for it is "partial 16S ribosomal RNA". It matches the Rfam family "Bacterial small subunit ribosomal RNA", at positions 338 to 795 of the family's 1533-position model. Lineage: Bacteria; Pseudomonadati; Pseudomonadota; Gammaproteobacteria; Oceanospirillales; Halomonadaceae. The record is from RNAcentral.
CCUACGGGGUGCAGCAGUGGGGAAUAUUGGACAAUGGGCGAAAGCCUGAUCCAGCCAUGCCGCGUGUGUGAAGAAGGCCUUCGGGUUGUAAAGCACUUUCAGUGGGGAAGAAAGCCUUGGGGCUAAUACCCUCGAGGAAGGACAUCACCCACAGAAGAAGCACCGGCUAACUCCGUGCCAGCAGCCGCGGUAAUACGGAGGGUGCGAGCGUUAAUCGGAAUUACUGGGCGUAAAGCGCGCGUAGGCGGUCUGAUAAGCCGGUUGUGAAAGCCCCGGGCUUAACCUGGGAACGGCAUCCGGAACUGUCAGGCUAGAGUGCAGGAGAGGAAGGUAGAAUUCCCGGUGUAGCGGUGAAAUGCGUAGAGAUCGGGAGGAAUACCAGUGGCGAAGGCGGCCUUCUGGACUGACACUGACGCUGAGGUGCGAAAGCGUGGGUAGCAAACAGGAUUAGAUACCCGAGUAGUC